CUGGCCCCCACCCUCUGCAUUUGCCAUCCAGCAGGUCUGGGUGGGUACCAGGAUGCGGAUUCGUAACAGGAGAGGCUGAUGCUGCCAGUCUGGGUCCACAUUUUGAGAAGCAUUCCUCCAAGGGUCCCACCCACGCUCAUACCCCAGAUGAAGCCAGGUUGCUAAGACAGUCUGAAAACAACUACCAAAGAACAGAGGUGCUGCUCAUGGUUACCCCAGUGUGCUGCAGCCCCUGUCCUCCAGACAGUGACAGCAGAGUGGACCUAAUUUUGAUACUUUGUAAACAUUGGACCAAGUCUGACAAUGCCUGCCAGGAUGGGCACUGAUGAAUAUGGUUGAACGGAACUCCAAGGACCACCCAGGUUGAUAGUAGUGAGGAACGAGGUGCACUGAGCACUUGUCGGGGCUGUGUUUGGAGCCCAUCAACAGUGCUACCAGCUUUAGUUCCAUCAACCCCAGGCUUUUGUAACAACUGGUUGCAUGAAACCCUCCCUUGUAGUUUGUGUACAGAAGACUGCAAUGAAUUGAAGUCAUGAGACAUACAGCCAGGAUCCUGAAAGCCACCAACAUAUGUCACCUGCCUGGGAGGCUUGCUUCGAUGGUCAUCUUGUUCUGCCUGCUAAGACCAGGAGUCACAGCUGUUGACAUCAUGGUGAAUAAAAACAUUUUCUGCCACAGGUA
Molecule: long non-coding RNA, 681 nt
Filed under: Homo sapiens (human)
Lineage: Eukaryota; Metazoa; Chordata; Mammalia; Primates; Hominidae
Description: long non-coding RNA NONHSAT188579.1
Source: RNAcentral